UACGUAGGGUGCAAGCGUUGUCCGGAAUUAUUGGGCGUAAAGAGCUCGUAGGCGGUUUGUCGCGUCUGCUGUGAAAACCCGAGGCUCAACCUCGGGCCUGCAGUGGGUACGGGCAGACUAGAGUGCGGUAGGGGAGAUUGGAAUUCCUGGUGUAGCGGUGGAAUGCGCAGAUAUCAGGAGGAACACCAAUGGCGAAGGCAGAUCUCUGGGCAGUAACUGACGCUGAGGAGCGAAAGCAUGGGGAGCGAACAGG
Molecule: ribosomal RNA, 253 nt
Filed under: uncultured bacterium
Lineage: Bacteria
Description: partial 16S ribosomal RNA
Rfam family: Bacterial small subunit ribosomal RNA
Source: RNAcentral